GAUGAAGAACGUAGCGAGAUGCGAUAAGUAAUGUGAAUUGCAGAAUUCAGUGAAUCAUCGAGUUUUUGAACGCAUAUUGCGCCCUCUGGUAUUCCGGGGGGCAUGCCUGUUCGAGCGUCAUUAAAUAACCCUCAAGCAUAGCUUGGUGUUGGGCUUUUUUACGUCCUUGACUGGGAUGGGCCUAAAAAUUAGUGGCGAUGGCUUUUUUACUUUCAAGCGUAGUAAAUCUCGUCUUGCUAAAGAGGAAAAAGAUUUUUUUUCUGCCAAAAAUUUUAACAUUUAAAGUUGACCUCGGAUCAGGUAGGAUUACCCGCUGAACUUAAGCAUAUCAAUAAGCGGAGGA
This 343-nucleotide unclassified non-coding RNA is filed under the name soil metagenome. Its description in RNAcentral is "partial contains 5.8S ribosomal RNA, internal transcribed spacer 2, and large subunit ribosomal RNA". The stretch from base 1 to 120 matches the Rfam family "5.8S ribosomal RNA", at positions 35 to 154 of the family's 154-position model. The record is from RNAcentral.